AUUGAACGCUGGCGGCAGGCUUUACACAUGCAAGUCGGACGAGUGGCGGACGGGUGAGUAAUGUAUUGGAACGUGCCUAGUAAUGGGGGAUAACCACUCGAAAGAUUGGCUAAUACCGCAUAUUAUUCGAGCGGCCCAUAUCUGAUUAGCUAGUUGGUGGGGUAACGGCCUACCAAGGCGACGAUCCCUAGCGGGUCUGAGAGGAUGACCUGCCACACUGGGACUGAGACACGGUCCAGACUCCUACGGGAGGCAGCAGUGGGGAAUAUUGGACAAUGGGCGCAAGCCUGAUCCAGCCAUGCCGCGUGUAUGAAGAAGGCCUUCGGGUUGUAAAGGACUUUCGGCAGGGAGGCGUUACCCGAAGAAUAAGCACCGGCUAACUACGUGCCAGCAGCCGCGGUAAUAC
RNAcentral lists this ribosomal RNA (406 nucleotides) under uncultured bacterium. Its description in RNAcentral is "partial 16S ribosomal RNA". It matches the Rfam family "Bacterial small subunit ribosomal RNA", at positions 30 to 526 of the family's 1533-position model. The record is from RNAcentral.